GUGGCUAUAGCUCAGUUGGUAGAGUCCCGGAUUGUGAUUCCGGUUGUCGAGAGUUCGAGCCUCUCUAGCCACCCCA
Molecule: transfer RNA, 76 nt
Filed under: Succinatimonas sp.
Lineage: Bacteria; Pseudomonadati; Pseudomonadota; Gammaproteobacteria; Aeromonadales; Succinivibrionaceae
Also listed under: 1 other name
Description: tRNA-His
Rfam family: tRNA
About the family: Transfer RNA (tRNA) molecules are approximately 80 nucleotides in length. Their secondary structure includes four short double-helical elements and three loops (D, anti-codon, and T loops). Further hydrogen bonds mediate the characteristic L-shaped molecular structure. tRNAs have two regions of fundamental functional importance: the anti-codon, which is responsible for specific mRNA codon recognition, and the 3' end, to which the tRNAs corresponding amino acid is attached (by aminoacyl-tRNA synthetases). tRNAs cope with the degeneracy of the genetic code in two manners: having more than one tRNA (with a specific anti-codon) for a particular amino acid; and 'wobble' base-pairing, i.e. permitting non-standard base-pairing at the 3rd anti-codon position.
Source: RNAcentral